CAACCCUCAAGCCCUCUCUGCAGGGCCUGGCGUUGGGGGACGGCACCCCUCACCGGGUGCCGCCCCCGAAAGACAGUGGCGGCCUCGCCGUCUGCCUCCUCUGCGUAGUAGAAACACCUCGCACUGGGACGCGGCGCGGUCAUGCCGUAAAAUCUCCAACUUCUGAA
Molecule: unclassified non-coding RNA, 167 nt
Filed under: uncultured Nectria
Lineage: Eukaryota; Fungi; Ascomycota; Sordariomycetes; Hypocreales; Nectriaceae
Description: sequence contains ITS2
Source: RNAcentral